RNAcentral lists this ribosomal RNA (567 nucleotides) under fungal endophyte. RNAcentral's name for it is "eukaryotic LSU rRNA". The stretch from base 190 to 343 matches the Rfam family "5.8S ribosomal RNA". Lineage: Eukaryota; Fungi. The record is from RNAcentral.
GGAGUCCUGGUAUGUUAACACUUCCUAAACCCAUGUGAACCUACCUUUGUUGCCUCGGCAGGUCUGCAACUUACCCUGAGGGUACCUACCCUGUAGGUACCUUACCCGGUAGUUGCGGGCAUAACCUGCCGGUGGUCUACUAAACUCUGUUUACUAUGUCAUUCUGAAUAAUAUAACUAAAUAAGUUAAAACUUUCAACAACGGAUCUCUUGGUUCUGGCAUCGAUGAAGAACGCAGCGAAAUGCGAUAAGUAAUGUGAAUUGCAGAAUUCAGUGAAUCAUCGAAUCUUUGAACGCACAUUGCGCCCAUUAGUAUUCUAGUGGGCAUGCCUGUUCGAGCGUCAUUUCAACCCUUAAGCCCUGUUGCUUAGCGUUGGGAGCCUACAGAUACCCUCUGUAGUUCCUUAAAGUUAGUGGCGGAGUCGGUUUCACACUCUAGACGUAGUAAAUUUUAUCUCGCCUAUAGAUGAGCCGGUCCCUUGCCGUAAAACCCCCUAAUUUCUAAAGGUUGACCUCGGAUCAGGUAGGAAUACCCGCUGAACUUAAGCAUAUCAAUAAGCCGGAGGAA